RNAcentral lists this ribosomal RNA (562 nucleotides) under uncultured Gigasporaceae. RNAcentral describes it as "bacterial SSU rRNA". It matches the Rfam family "Eukaryotic small subunit ribosomal RNA", at positions 548 to 1093 of the family's 1831-position model. The record is from RNAcentral. Lineage: Eukaryota; Fungi; Glomeromycota; Glomeromycetes; Diversisporales; Gigasporaceae.
UUGGAGGGCAAGUCUGGUGCCAGCAGCCGCGGUAAUUCCAGCUCCAAUAGCGUAUAUUAAAGUUGUUGCAGUUAAAAAGCUCGUAGUUGAAUUUCGGGAUUCUACCGUUGGUCGGGCUAACAAGUCUGUACUGGUGUGUAGAAUUUCUACCUUCUGGGGAACUAUCAUGUUAUUAAUUUAGCGUGGUGGGAAACCAGGACCUUUACCUUGAAAAAAUUAGAGUGUUCAAAGCAGGCUUACGUCUGAAUACAUUAGCAUGGAAUAAUAGAAUAGGACGGUGGUCCUGUUUUGUUGGUUUCUGAAUCACCGUAAUGAUUAAUAGGGAUAGUUGGGGGCAUUAGUAUUCAAUUGUCAGAGGUGAAAUUCUUGGAUUUAUUGAAGACUAACUUCUGCGAAAGCAUUUGCCAAGGAUGUUUUCAUUAAUCAAGAACGAAAGUUAGGGGAUCGAAGACGAUCAGAUACGUCCGUAGUGUUACCUAACUAACUAAACUAGUCGACCGUACGGUAAGGUACGGUACCGGGAACGUAGUUAAAGUUUUUAAAUUUUUUCGUUUACGUACCG